GAUGAAUUACUAGACAAUUUCAAAUAAUUCGAAGUUAAGCCCUUGCUAUUCCCACCAAUAGCUGGUAAGCUUACAACUAAUGUAUUUAAUACUUCGAAAUUUUGGUACGACGUUCGUAAGAAUGACUUCCCCGAUUUCUAAAGUUUCAGAUACACAAAUAUAUUGCGCUAUGCGCUCGGAGGUUUCACUCUUAUGGAACAAGGUACUGUAAAAUGGUUUAACGGCGACAAAGGUUUUGGCUUUAUUACUUUGGAAAACGGCUCAGACGUUUUCGUUCACUUCUCAGCUAUCAAUGCUGAUGGUUACAAGACUCUUGAAGAAGGUCAACAUGUAACCUUAGACGUAGAACAAGGCGACCGCGGCCCACAAGCAGCCAACGUUACUGUUGCUUAAUUCGUUUAAGUAAUUAGAAGAACCCACCGACUAAGUCGAUGGGUUCUUU
Molecule: regulatory RNA element, 442 nt
Rfam family: cspA thermoregulator
Source: Rfam